Molecule: ribosomal RNA, 937 nt
Filed under: uncultured delta proteobacterium
Lineage: Bacteria; Deltaproteobacteria
Description: bacterial SSU rRNA
Rfam family: Bacterial small subunit ribosomal RNA
Source: RNAcentral
AGAGUUUGAUCAUGGCUCAGAACGAACGCUGGCGGCGUGCUUAACACAUGCAAGUCGAACGCGAAAGUUUUCUUCGGAAAGCGAGUAGAGUGGCGCACGGGUGAGUAACGCGUAAAUAAUCUACCCUGAUGUCUGGGAUAACCCUUCGAAAGGGGGACUAAUACCGGGUAUAUGGUUAUCUGUUGGGAUAACCAGGAAAGGUGGCCUCUAUUUAUAAGCUAUCGCAUUGGGAUGAGUUUGCGUACCAUUAGCUAGUUGGUGAGGUAACGGCCCACCAAGGCGACGAUGGUUAGCGGGUCUGAGAGGAUGAUCCGUCACACUGGCACUGGAACACGGGCCAGACUCCUACGGGAGGCAGCAGUGAGGAAUAUUGCGCAAUGGGGGGAACCCUGACGCAGCGACGCCGCGUGAGUGAGGAAGGCCUUCGGGUCGUAAAGCUCUGUCAGAAGGGAAGAAGUGUAUUGCGGUUAAUACCCGUAGUAUUUGACGGUACCUUCAGAGGAAGCACCGGCUAACUCCGUGCCAGCAGCCGCGGUAAUACGGAGGGUGCGAGCGUUGUUCGGAAUCACUGGGCGUAAAGGGCGCGCAGGCGGUUUGUUUAGUCAGAUGUGAAAGCCCACGGCUUAACCGUGGAAGUGCAUUUGAAACUGGCAGACUUGAGUACCAGAGGGGAAGGUGGAAUUCCCGGUGUAGAGGUGAAAUUCGUAGAUAUCGGGAGGAAUACCGGUGGCGAAGGCGACUUUCUGGCUGGAUACUGACGCUGAGGCGCGAAAGCGUGGGGAGCAAACAGGAUUAGAUACCCUGGUAGUCCACGCCGUAAACGAUGUGAACUAGAUGUUGGAGGUAUUGAUCCCUUCGGUGUCGGAGCUAACGCAUUAAGUUCACCGCCUGGGGAGUACGGUCGCAAGAUUAAAACUCAAAGGAAUUGACGGGGCCC